UACGUAGGUGGCGAGCGUUGUCCGGAUUUACUGGGCGUAAAGGGAGCGUAGGCGGACUUUUAAGUGAGAUGUGAAAUACCCGGGCUCAACUUGGGUGCUGCAUUUCAAACUGGAAGUCUAGAGUGCAGGAGAGGAGAAUGGAAUUCCUAGUGUAGCGGUGAAAUGCGUAGAGAUUAGGAAGAACACCAGUGGCGAAGGCGAUCCUCUGGACUGUAACUGACGCUGAGGCUCGAAAGCGUGGGGAGCAAACAGGAUUAGAUACCCG
RNAcentral lists this ribosomal RNA (265 nucleotides) under uncultured prokaryote. RNAcentral describes it as "partial 16S ribosomal RNA". It matches the Rfam family "Bacterial small subunit ribosomal RNA", at positions 524 to 788 of the family's 1533-position model. The record is from RNAcentral.